GGGAUUGUAGCUCAGUGGUAGAGUUCUUGCCUAGCAUGCAUGAGCACUGGGUUUGAUCCUCAGCACCA
This is a non-coding RNA of Ictidomys tridecemlineatus (thirteen-lined ground squirrel), 68 nucleotides long. NCBI's taxonomy places the organism in Eukaryota, Metazoa, Chordata, Mammalia, Rodentia, Sciuridae. The record is from Rfam.